GCCGCCAUCGUCUAGCCCGGUUUAGGACGUCGGGUUCUCAUCCCGAAAAUCAUGGGUUCGAAUCCCAUUGGCGGCG
This 76-nucleotide transfer RNA is filed under the name Candidatus Wildermuthbacteria bacterium. RNAcentral's name for it is "tRNA-Glu". It matches the Rfam family "tRNA". Rfam says of the family: Transfer RNA (tRNA) molecules are approximately 80 nucleotides in length. Their secondary structure includes four short double-helical elements and three loops (D, anti-codon, and T loops). Lineage: Bacteria; Candidatus Wildermuthiibacteriota. The record is from RNAcentral.